This 6035-nucleotide long non-coding RNA is filed under the name Bemisia tabaci. Its description in RNAcentral is "lncRNA ENSSSA3NGG012778". Lineage: Eukaryota; Metazoa; Arthropoda; Insecta; Hemiptera; Aleyrodidae. The record is from RNAcentral.
AUCUAUGAUAAUUGUUACCUAACGAUUUACAAAAAUUUUGAAAAAUUAAUUUUUUUUAAUCAAAGCAAAAUGAAGUAGGCAGCUCUUGGAAGGUGUAUCCUCUACAAAAAAAGGAACUAAUUCUCAUCGCAAUCAAGUACUUAAUUAAAUCCUCAGGAAAUAGGAAAAAGAUUGCUCAAUAAGUAACUUUUCAACACAGGCACCUAAAUCCUUCAUAACUCAAAAUUGAUUUAUAAAUACUAAAACAGAAGAGUGUUGUACGAUCUUUUUGGGACAAGAAAUGGUAAACCAAAUGGAGAUUGUGUCGGUUUGGAGUUUAUUUUUUUAUCAGUAUCAUUCAAAAAGCGUAGUUUUGGGGAAAAAGCUACAUACCUAAAGUCCUCCCCUACUCAGUUUUGAGUAGGAAGUUGCUGGAUAAUAGUGCCGCUUCAUUCCUUCCAACGGCACAAAAGUGAACUGAACAGCUCACAACUUUAUAUAUAGGUAGGACAAUCAAGAGAGAUUUCCAUCAAAAUCCAGUCUUUCAACAAAAAUGGCUCCACUGAAAGUUGCACCUUCAUGGUCAAAGAUCCCUUAGUCGGUGGAUAUUGCAUACUUGGAAGGAAACAAAUCUGUACUCAUAAAGCAAAGCGAAAAUAUAGAAAAAAAAACUUCAUCUGCUUCCAUCGCGAGCCUCCAGUUUAAUGAGAUGAAAUGAAAACGAAAGAAAUAAAAUAAAGAGAUUGUUGUGUGAGAUUUAUCUAUCUUAUUUCCAUUAAUUUGAUUUUUUCAUUAUCCUUCUAUUUUCAGGAAUGGAUAAACUAUUAGAAAAAGUGAAUGAAAACAUAGCCAAAUCUCAAAUCAUCGUCCAAUCUCUGGAGCCUAUAUCAAGAGCUGGGAGUCGAACUUCUCAGAUAUCAAAGGCUGAUUCUGUGCACUCUGUUGGACCUACGUCGACUUUUACGCUGCCUGCGUCCGAAUCUCUCAAAAUACCACACAUAAGCUAUGAGUUUCGGCACGAUAUCGUCAGUCGAGAAAUGAACAGCAUGAAAUCAAAACUGAACAACUUGAUUGUCAAAAUGAGAAGGCAAAAAUCUAAUAUCACUGCCUGUUUGGAGGAAGUUGCUAUCCGAAUCAAAGACUUGACGGAAUAUACAAAAAAUUGAUGCUGCUGUCGAAGUCUGAUUCUAAAUCCAAAAUUAAUGUCGGCGUCUAUGUAGGGUAAGUUUAGCUUGAAACUGGAUCAAUUCGUAGAUUGCAAACAGUAAUUUUACAUCUGUUAUACAUAUAUGAUUGAAACGUAGUUAAUGAUGGUGCAAUGAUUUUCAUUAACUAAGUUUCAACAUUUAUAUGUCUUCUCAUGAAUGGUAUGCUCUGAAAAAUUGAUCGUCAAAGGAUAUUGCAAGGCAAUGGCUUCAGAGCCAGGACUUCAAACUGGAUCAUUGUAGGGAUGUCGGUACUCGGGGAGGUAUCGACACUAAGCAUCAAAACCGAUAUUGAGCAUCGAGCUGAAGUAAUGAUACUUCUGAGGUAUAGAUACCAUCAGUACUUACUAUUUCUAAAUUAUGCCGUUAAAGAACAUCGGCGCUGUCCGUAUAAUCAAUUUGAGUCCCAAAUUGGCUUGGGGUUCAAUACUCUAAGUGUCACUGUGAAAAGUGAAUUUUCGAUAAGAAGUUGCAAUUUACAAUUAUGAAUGGUACAUGACUUAAGACUUCUUUAUCUUAUGUUUUUCAGUUUUAUGAGAGGUGUGUUGAAGCAAAUAAUCCAGAACAUUAACCAAGCAAAAACAAACAAAACUAUUUUAAGUAUCGAGAAAAAGAAAGUACUGCUGAGAAUGGAAGAUAAGGAAGAGCUAAGUUCAACUAUUUAUGCUAUCGACUUUGACGUUUUGGAGAUACAGAAUCAAGAAUUGCGCAAACUGCUACACCAGAAGUGCCAUUGUUUAGCUUUGACAAAACGUUUUAUAGGUUUGCAUUUGUAAUCUAUUUUUUAAUUUUUUUCUGCAAAGCAACAAUGCAUUUUCCACCCUACUCUGUAGCAAGCACUCAUAUAUGGCGAAAGAUAGAAAGCACGUAUCUUCAUUGCGAUGUUUCAGAAUGUCUCCUCUGUUUUUAUUUUUUUUCGAAAAGAAAUAGGCCAACUGUAUAGCUUGAAAAUACAGAGUAUUCUGCUAAGAAGGGAGAAAAGUGAAAAAAGUUUUCAAUAAAUUACGUUGACUCGUUUUCCAAAGAAAAAUGAAGUAUGACAGGAAGUCUGCAACCUUGCAAUCUAUAAUACGUGGUUUCAAGCUCUGGUCAUCAAUGUGAAAACAGCUAUAGUAGAGUCGUAAUUGCCAAGUGCAAAAUUUUCGAGGAAUAGAAGAAAUGGAAUUUUAAUAAAAAAUGUUGAACUUCUCUUCUGCAAAGAGUAAUUUUAGUACACUAAAAACUCUCUUGAACAACUUUCGGCUCACUGUUUGCCAUAUUGAAUGCAGAAUAAGCUUUCCAACAUGCUGUACUUUUCAAAAUUCAACCUGUGCUUUUCUCAAAAUCAAGUAACUUCUCUGUAACUAUUUAGUAAGCUCUAGACAGUAAAUUUAUAAAAUUUUAGGUGUUUUUUUUUUUCUAUUAUCUAUGAGGAACAUCUUAACUAGACAGUUUUACUAUUACGUCAACUUGUAGUUCUAGAAAGUUGAAAGGCCUUUUUUUCUUGCCCAUAAUACAUAAUCUUUAGUUAUAGAGUCAAAAGUUGAUCAACAAAAGUAUGAAUUUGGAAGUGAUAUUUGCUGAUUAUAAAGUCUUCUGUCUUGAGUAAGUUUCCUGUUUGUAAAACAUUGUAGAAACCAAGAAUGUCCACAAAAAGGAUUAGCUUUCAUAGUUUGGAUGUCCGUUACUCUAGUAAAGUCCAAAAUAACUGAAAUGGUGGCCUUGUAUUUUCCAUCCAUAAGAUGACAAGAAUGAUAUGAAAUUACAAGAACACUACUCAGUAUGUUUUUCAUAGAUUUGUUCAUUUGUAUGUUUUACCUUGCUCUCUGAUAUUUUCUAGGCAGCGCUGAAAAAUCCUUGACAGCUUCAGUCAAUUUAGUUGAUUCUUUAAAUCAAGAGCUGAACAGUAUCAGGAAACACAUCAAACUUAAUCGAAAGAAACUUAUGAACCUUCGUAGGAAAGGAAAAAAGUACGUACAAUUUUUUUUCCAUGUUGUUGAAAAUAUUAAAGGCAAUGUUUGCUCAUUUCAGCUAGUGUUCAGCUGAGCUCUCUCAAUAGAAAUGAAAGAAAAUACAUAAUAACUUAAACAGUUGGGUGCUAAUUUAGCUAUUAUUUAUCGCAAUGAGGACAAAUUUAGAUACAUAAUUUUAUUUUGAAUAUACUUCAGGAAGAAUUUAAGAUUCCGAUUGUGUAUAAGUAAUUCAUGUAUUAUGGUUGUGGUGCAGAUGACUGUUUCCUGAAAAACCUCUUAAGCUAGGACUCUGCCAGGAAUACCAACAGAAGUACUGGCUAAAAUUUGUUUUUAUUUAUAUGAUGCUCUUUGCAACUUCCUGAGCAUGAUGAGUUUUUAAGAUCAAACUAUUUAUGUGCCAAUUUUGAUCCGAAAAAGCAUACUCGUGGAGUUGAAAAGUGAAUUUUUUGGCACUCUUACAUGCGUUUUUCUUUGAAGAUGCAGCAUGUGUGAGUGGAUGCUGUGCUGUAAUAUGUUAUCAUCCAGAGGAUUUGGAUUCUUUUGGUCUCUUUUAUCCUCUUGGCCGGCAAAGAAACAGAAGCUCCUUUAGAUUACCAAUCAGAUGUUGUAACAUUUUUGCCAGAUAGUGCAUGUGAAAAUGCUGAAAUAUUCACUUUUCAGCACUGCUUUUCUCAAAAUUUUCACAUAGCAAGUUUGAUUUUAAAAACUCAUCAUGCUCAAAAGAUCAUGAAGGACAUCAUUUUAAAUAAUAACCAAAUUGAAUCUGUGCUAAAUUCUUUGGUUUUCCGUACCAGGUUCUUCUAUGUUGAUUAUAUACUUUGAGCACGGCAAGGCUGAAAGUUUCCCUUUAAAGGCUUGUAUCAUACGAAUUCAAAAAGAAACGAAAUGUUGUCGGACUGAACAUUUUCUUAAUGUAGAGACACUUUUAUGAUCCAACCCUAAUUAAACUGGAAUCGUAAGGCAAAAGUACUAACCACCCACUAGAAUAUAAUUAUGAUUUUUACUCAACUUUUAGAGCAAGGAAGCUGAAUGUUGCAUGCAGCAGAGGUACUCAGACUUCUUUUUUUUUAAAUAUUUUCAAGUUAUUUUUUUUUACUGUUGCAGCUCGAGUCGGAAAUCAAACAGAAAAGAAAGGAAGCUCUAAUCUCGGAAAACCAUGUCAUCAAAAGCUCUGGCAAAAGUAUAGAGGUAAUCCUACAUAAAUCAUUCAUUUUUAAAGGAAUCCCUUGUCAAUUUUUUUCAAAACCAAAUGCUCUAUGAACCAUAGGUAUUCCAUUUCAUCAAGUUUUUUGACCUCCAAUGAGAGAAAGUAAAACAAAAAAGCAUUAAAAUGCAUUGCAACUGCAUAGCAACUUUUUUUCUUUUUUUUAAAUAUCAGAAUGAGCUUUAAUGGAUAUCUUUCUACACAUGUCACAUGUAAGACUCUGAAACAACUUCAAGGCUGAUAAAUCGUGUCUACAUGUUAGUAUAGAGCAUAUCGAUAGCGAAACUUAAAAAAUGCGCAUCCUGGCUUACAGCAUUACAGACUUCCUGUUUCACUUUAUUCUCUACAUACAAAACUACUAUAGUCCGCGCCACGAAAAGUGGCGGGUGAGGGCGGAGCCAGUCGGCUGGUCCAGUCUAUCGUUGAAGGAUUGAAGCGCAGGUAUUGGCCGGUAGUUGAGACGGGAUAAGGACUGGCCCAAUACCUACGCUUCAACCCUUCAACGAUAGUCUGGACCGGUUGACUGGCUCCUCCCCUCACCUGCCACUUUUGCGGCGCGGACUACAAAUGUCGUUUCUUUAAAACUUCAGUGAUUUUUCUUCUGUAAGCAAAGUAUUUAAAUCAAAAUUUCAAGCAUGAUGUUGGUUCGGUCUCCUUUUAAAAAAUGAAACGGGAGGGGAGAUUUUGAAGAAUUACUGUAAAUCGCAUUUUUGCGCAGUUUACUGUCGAUAUACUGUCAUAAUUCGAUCAAUAUACCAUUGAAAAUUUUUUCUCAUUCUCAGUUACUUAUUAGUCACACAAAUGAAUAUUGAUCAAACUCACGAUAGCUACUUAUGAUCCGCUCUUAUGUUUUUAUUUGCUCAUUUUCACUCAAUUUGAUUUUUAUUUGCUGAAUUUCAAGGAAAAUUUGAAGUUGAAAGGACUACUGUUUGUGUAGAAUAAAAUCUUAGUUUUGUGUAAAAGUAAAAUUUUAGUUUUCACUUCAACUAAUUUUUAUCUUUGUUUGUUUCCUCUCCUAAGGCUUUAGAUGUGGUGUCAUAUGCAUUAACUAAACUUUGCGUCAAUGAUCUGGAGCGUAAACUGAAAAUCAGUUCAAGGAAGCACAAUCUCAAAUUGGGAUUGCUCAGUUGUGUGAGGCAUCAUUUCAAAGUUCUAACCAACAAAUCAAACAUGACCUAUAGAAAUUCCCGGGUUUUGUAAUUAUCAACAAAAAAAAAUGUUCUUUAAGUGUACAAGUAUCCUCUACUUAUCUUGUAUGAUUUCAAUUAAAUUGAAUGAAAUUGAAUUUGAUCAUCUUGCCUUAUUUUUUGUUCCCUUAUUAGAACGCAGUAAUGAGAGUUGAUUUAGGUUGACAAUGUGAAAUUAAUCAAUUUAUUUUCAAGCCUCUGUCAAACGAGCAGGUCGACUGUAGAAUCAAUGACAUUUGCCAGCAAAAUUGACAUUCUGUGGGCAUAUUUGCAACCCUGCCGGACUGUACAGUUGGGACUGCUUGUGUGAGAGGAGCUUAAACCUUCAUCAUUUUAGUUUCAGAAUUGUUUCAGGGAUUACCUCUAAACGUUUUCAGUACCUUGGUACUCAAUGUUGAAUUCUGUAAUGUAAUUCUGGUAGUGUGCCUAAUGUACAAUCAAGAUUUUGCAAUUGAUUUAAUAGCCCCAAUACUUAAGAUCUAAUUUUAAUUUUUAUAAAUGAAUGGCA